CUAUUGGGGUGAGCUUUCAUCCUGUUCCAGAGUUGCGAUGGGCCUGGAAGGAGUCAGCCAGCCAGCUUGCUUUACCCCACUCUGAACUGCUAGAUGGAAGAUUUCCUUCUUCAAGCAGCCUUUCUGGCGAUACUGAGAUUCAUCUCUCCAGGGUGAAACCCAAACCCCCAGAGACACCAGAAAGAAGAGACCACAAACCUUGCAUACCUGGGAACCAGUGGACAACCUCAAGUUUCUUUUCAGGAAAAAAAAAAAAAUCCAGCCAACCGGUAGAACCAGGUAAGUAAAACAUUUUGUUCUAAGUAAACUGUGUAGCUAGUGCACUACUCUCUUUUUUGCUACACUGAAGGUCUUGUCCUAAGACAAAAAACAAAACAAAAACAGAACGUUAAAGCCAAUCACAUCUUUCUUCUAUCAUCAACAAUUACCUAGGC
This 434-nucleotide long non-coding RNA is filed under the name Fukomys damarensis (Damara mole-rat). RNAcentral describes it as "lncRNA (ENSFDAG00000026947.1)". The record is from RNAcentral. Lineage: Eukaryota; Metazoa; Chordata; Mammalia; Rodentia; Bathyergidae.